AAAUCAGUGUACUUUCCUCAAAUGUCCCCAAUACACAUGUCCAUUAUAUAAAUAAAAAUAUAAAUAUAUAAAUGGUCAUUUUUAUUUAUAUAAUGGACAUGUGUAUUGGGGACAUUUGAGGAAAGUACACUGAUU
Molecule: microRNA precursor, 135 nt
Filed under: Pelobates cultripes (western spadefoot toad)
Lineage: Eukaryota; Metazoa; Chordata; Amphibia; Anura; Pelobatidae
Source: RNAcentral